RNAcentral lists this long non-coding RNA (2248 nucleotides) under Lathyrus oleraceus (garden pea). RNAcentral describes it as "Pisum sativum (pea) long non-coding RNA (PSAT_LNC034518)". Lineage: Eukaryota; Viridiplantae; Streptophyta; Magnoliopsida; Fabales; Fabaceae. The record is from RNAcentral.
UACGGUGGGAUAAACAAAAAAAUUGGAUAACAAAGGGUUUUGAACUCGGUAGUCAUGUUGUGUGAUUUUUCUUUCUCUUUUUUUCGUGCAUCACGUAUACUCUGGGGGUUAAUUUCACUCUUUUGACUCUUUUUCUACUCAAAUUUUCCGAGCAUUUUAUAUCUGUUAGAGUCUUAGGUCUCGGCAAGUGCAUUUUUCUCUUUUGUUUUUCUUUUCUCUUUUUUUUUUUUUUUUUUUCUUUUAAAUAAAAUACAUACUAUUUUUCUUUUUGUAUGAUCUCUUAUUAUGCACUUGCCUUCUCUUUCAAGAUUUCCACCCCAAACUUAGUUUUAUUGCACAUCUUGCAAUUCACACAAUCAUACCGAGUUAUGACACAAAAGGAAAUGAAUGAUUAAAAGUUAACAGGGGGUUUAUGAUGAAUAAUGCUUAAACGUUAACAUGGGGUUUACGAUGAAUAAAAUGGCUAAGGCUCAACGGGGUUUACGAAGGGAAACAUACAUAUAGGGAUGGUUAGAAAGGCCCUGGCUAAACAAACAACUUGCCUCAGUGUGUGUUGUCAUGUUGUGACGUGUCAACAGGACAUACGCAAAAUCAGAGUGAUAAAGUCAUACCUGGCUGAACUCUCAUGUUGAUAUUUCGUGUUUGGCUUUUUGUGAUCUCACCAUGUUGGUUAGCUUGCAAGCUCUGAAGUCUCUUCGUGUUAUGUGGUUCUUUCCUGACUUGGUCUUUCCAUACCGCUUUCUUGGUCCGGUGUCCCCAAAAUGUGUCCGACUUCUUUUCUCAAGGUUGCAUCAACUUCCGGGGUGCCUUAUCAGCCUAAGUUUGAGGGGUGUCAUUCAUCCACUACCAUUGAUCCCGGGCUCGUCCAACCGUUUCUCAUCACCCUGUACACACAGUAGGUCCAAAAGAACAGAAAACAAACAAAACAAACAAACAUACUAAUAUAAUGAUAACAUAACAAAAACAAAACAAAUUGAAAGAAAAUAAAACAUGAAAGCAUGAAAGGAGAAACCCCCCCCCCUACACUUGAACUAAACAUUGACCUCAAUGUUUAAAUUCAAACACGAAUGGGACUUGCAGUGAUCACUGUUGAGGAGGAGGUGGAGGAUCGUGCGGGAAAUGCAACAUCAGACGUUGCAUCAUGGCCUGCAUGUCAUCCAUGAUUGUCCCUUGCCGGAACAGUUCCACACUCUGUCUAUCUAAUUCCGCACCUUGUCUGGUCUGCUCGGUGCAGAGAGUUCCCAUCUCCGUCUGGAUCCAACCCCACUAGUCCUGGGACAUAAAAGAGGAGCCUUCACCAUGUAGGCUCGAAUCAUGUGGGGGUGGCAUACCGUGGGUAGCUUGUCUCUCAUCUUCUUCCAUGUCCUCACCUGAAAGGUCAUGGUCAAACUGCUCAUCACCCCCUAUCGCUUGGGCUGAACCUAUGUACAACCAGUUGGCAGCAUUGGCAAUGCUAAUGGACCCAGGUGCAGGAAGUGCGAGCACUUCCACAUUGUGAAUCAUCAGAGCGUAAUGAGUCGGCCGGAUGGCAAUCAUCUAUUGAUUGACUAGCGUGUGCAUGUCAAUCUUAGUCUUGCCCAUUACUGCAGUCUCCUCCAUCAGGAGUUGAUCAUACCCGAAGUGGCCCGCAAUCUACGUGAUCAUACCACCUACAUAAAUAUCCCCAGUAGUGGGAUGGCCAACCUGUUUCAGAUGAUUGGCGGCAAAAGCCGCUGCAUUGAUUCGCUCAUUAUGGGCCAUGCAAUACAGAAAAUAUAAUUCUCUCUUAGCCGCAACCCCAGUACUAUCACCCCGUCCAAACAAGGUGUAUGCUAACCCUUUUUGUGCAUACCUGAAGCACGGGUUAUGAAUUCCAGAAGCUUUUCCCGAGCUAGGGUUAUACCCAGUUUUACCUGUAAUAGCUUGCCAGAAAUCAACAACAGAAAAGUAUGCAAUACCAAACUCUUAACUUUGAAUACAUUCUAAUGUCACUACCACAGCAGAUUCCACACACUUUUUGAGGUCUUUUUAGGUUGUAACGGGGCUUGGGUACGGUGGGAUAAACAAAAAAAUUUGGAAAACAAAGGGUUUUGAACUCGGUAGUCAUGUUGUGUGAUUUUUCUUUCUCUCUUCUUUUUUCGUGCAUCACGUAUACUCUGGGGGUUAAUUUCACUCUUUUUACUCUUUUUCUACUCAAAUUUUUCGAGCAUUUUAUAUCUGUUAGAGUCUUAGGUCUCGGCAAGUGCAUUUUUCUCUUUCAAGAUUUUUU